Magallana angulata is the source of this 1075-nucleotide long non-coding RNA. RefSeq lists it as uncharacterized. The transcript is spliced from 2 exons. NCBI's taxonomy places the organism in Eukaryota, Metazoa, Mollusca, Bivalvia, Ostreida, Ostreidae. The record is from RefSeq and is a predicted model, not a curated record.
CCCCCCCCUCACCAGGUGUACACUACAGACCAUAUAUAACAUGGCCCCCCCUCACCAGGGGUACACUACAGAUCCUGUUUGACUCCUGUAUAACAAACCAUUAAACCAUACAACUACAGCAUGUUCUGUACCCAGAGUUAUCUCUCUUGUUUUAUUCAACCAAUUCAAACAUCAUCUUAUAGAAUUUGAAUUAUCCGAGAAGAACAUCAUAUAGUCUAUGAACUCGUAUUUCAUUAUCAAAAUGUGUGUUAUAGACUAGCAUUAUGGAUUUAUCAAUAUAAUGUCAUUAACAGAUUAUUUUGAAACAACCCAUAAUUUAUUUAGUCAAAGACUAUAGAAAUUAUUUAAUUUUGUAUCAACAAAAUCGUACAUUUUUUAAUUGCAAAUUUUCCAUAAAUAAAAUAACGACGAAAAAUGAUGCUGAGAUGUAGACAAUUAAUAUAUUCACUCCGGCCUUAGCUAACGAUAGCGAUAAUGAAAAUAUUCAGUCUGACCUUGGUUACAGCGGAUGAUAAUAUAUUCACUGACCUACGUCACAGUUACGAUUAUUAAUAUAUUCACUCUGACCUUAGCUAACAAUGAUGAUUAUUAAAAAUAAUAUAUUCACUCUGACCAUAGCUAACAGUGACGAUUAUUAAUAUAUUCACUCUGACCGUAGGUAACAGUGAUGAUUAUUAAUAUAUUCACUCUGACCUUAGCUUACAGUGACGAUUAUUAAUAUAUUCACUCUGACCGUAGCUAACAGUGACUGUUAUUAAUAUAUUCACUCUGACCUUAGCUAACAGUGACGGUUAUUAAUAUAUUCACUCUGACCUUAGCUUACAGUGACGAUUUAUAAUAUAGUCACGCUGACCAUACCUAACAAUGAUGAUUAUUAAUAUAUUCACUCUGGCCUGUGACCUCUGCAGUGUGCAUGUGUCGGCUUACUAUACCAUGUAUAUUACGUACUUUAUUUUUCCAUGUAUUAAUGGAUGUGUGUGAUAGUCACAUUAAAUUUGCAUAUCAAGAGUUACUGAUCAUGACGCUUACAAAUAUGAAGUUUUAAUAACAGGUUCAAAUAAAUUUAUGUACAAGA